GUUUUGAGAAGCCAUCUGCUAUUCAGCAAAGGGGCAUUGUUCCUUUUUGCAAGGGCCUUGAUGUCAUCCAGCAGGCACAAUCUGGUACUGGAAAGACGGCAACUUUCUGCUCUGGAAUUCUCCAGCAGCUUGAUUACAGUUUAGUUGAGUGUCAGGCUCUGGUUCUUGCACCAACCCGUGAGCUUGCACAACAGAUUGAGAAGGUUAUGAGAGCACUUGGUGACUACCUGGGUGUGAAGGUUCAUGCUUGUGUUGGGGGUACCAGUGUCCGUGAGGAUCAGCGCAUCCUUCAGAGCGGUGUUCAUGUUGUGGUUGGUACUCCAGGCCGUGUCUUUGACAUGUUGCGCAGGCAGUCUCUUCGCCCCGACCACAUCAAGAUGUUUGUUUUGGAUGAAGCUGACGAAAUGCUCUCUAGAGGUUUCAAGGAUCAGAUUUAUGAUAUUUUCCAAUUGCUGCCACCAAAGAUUCAAGUUGGUGUUUUCUCUGCUACAAUGCCACCAGAGGCUCUUGAAAUUACUAGGAAGUUCAUGAACAAGCCUGUGAGGAUCCUUGUGAAGCGUGAUGAGCUCACUCUUGAAGGUAUCAAGCAAUUUUAUGUCAAUGUUGACAAGGAAGAGUGGAAGCUUGAAACUCUUUGCGAUCUUUACGAGACCUUAGCCAUCACCCAGAGUGUCAUCUUUGUGAACACCAGGCGCAAGGUUGAUUGGCUCACUGAUAAGAUGCGCAGCCGUGAUCACACAGUAUCUGCCACUCAUGGAGACAUGGACCAGAACACUAGAGAUAUCAUUAUGCGAGAGUUCCGAUCUGGAUCAUCUCGUGUGCUCAUCACUACUGAUCUUCUGGCACGUGGUAUUGAUGUGCAGCAAGUAUCCCUUGUGAUUAACUAUGACCUGCCUACUCAGCCAGAAAACUACUUGCAUCGUAUUGGUCGUAGUGGACGAUUUGGAAGGAAGGGUGUAGCUAUCAAUUUUGUCACAAAGGAUGAUGAAAGGAUGCUUUUUGACAUUCAGAAGUUUUACAAUGUUGUAGUUGAGGAGCUGCCAGCCAAUGUGGCCGAUCUUCUUUGAGGUGAUUUUGGUUCUGUGAGGUGAAUUUUUCGUUAUAUUAAGUAAUUUAAUAUUUUAUUGUUAGGUUAGUUAGAGCCGCAGUGGACUAAAACUUGGAAACUGCAGUUUCUGUGAUUCGCCGUGGGAAUUGUAGUUUUCCAAUUUAGUUGGACUUAUUUACAAAUUUUGUUGGUUUUGUCUUUUUGUAUUGUAAGUCCACAACAACUUCAGGUUUUGGAUGUCUUUGAAUUUAGUAUAUUUCAUUUUAAUCCUUGGCCUUUUUUUCUUCUUCUUUUUUUUUCAAUUGAUGAUUGAUUGUGGCUUCGUUUGUCUGUUAGUUCUUUUGAGUUGGUUCUAGAUUUUCUAUUAAGAUUCAGCCGCUUGUCCAAGUUCCUUAUCUUUCAAGGAUUUUAGGCUACAAAUGAUGGCAUUUUAUUACAUUAUAGAAAUUUUUCUUACCAUCAAACUCCAUAUGAAUUGAACUGAUAUAGGAUAUUUGAGUUCGUGGAAAUAGGAUAAUUUCAUCGCUUUUACUUCAUAAAUGAGUAUCAAAAUUAAAACUUCGAUAGUUUCGACAGUCACGAAGUUGAAGCAUUUUGGAUUGUUGUGUGAAGGAAGUAUGAACUAUGAAAUUUUGGGUUUAAUGGUUGUCAUUAGUUACUGCAUAGGUGCAUGACCUUUGGUCCUUAAGUUCUUCUCACAUGGUGCAUCAGAUACUGCAUGCUUCUCAGUUUCAUGCAAAACCGUCAUGGAUUGUAGUAACUGAUGCAUGUGCUUCAAAAAUCAGUUCAUUCUUAUUUAUUUGGCCUAGGUGUUGUGGCUUUCUAGUUAAUCAUUGUUACAAGAUAAAAUUAUUGCUGCAAGGUAAAUGAAUUAUGAAUCCUGAAAGUGUUAAAUAGUGUUUUAUCUUAACAUUUUUGUAGAAAUAUCAUUGUAAAGCCUCAUCUGCGAAAGAAUGCUAGUGUGCUCUAACGUCCCCUUUAAUGCACCUACCCUACCUUACUUUCAAAACACACAAAUUUAAACACAGUCAUGCCAAAUUAAAAUGAGUGUGCACAUUAAAAAAAAAAAAGUUUUUCUCUCUGAUGAUCUAAUGGAUCUGUGGCAGUGCUUAAUAGAAGAUUUCACCCCUUUGUGAGGAAGUAUAUUUCAGGGACAAUCUGACGUUUUCCCAAGUUGUGCUCCAUUUGAUUUUUGCAGGUGACAACCAAGUUCUCUUUUCUGAUAAAGUAUUGAAAUUCACUAGUUCAGGGAAGGUGAAACGACGUAUAUUAUUAAUAAUAGACUUUGCCAUUUAUAUUGUUGACCCGGAGAAUGAUGCACUUAAACGGCGCAUAGCAUUAGGAGCUGUGGAAAAGAUAUUUUUGAGUGAAUUACGUGAUAAUUUCUUUGCAAUCAUCAUUCCAACAGAGUAUGAUAUACCUAUGGCUAGCACACGAAAGACAGAAACUGUCACCGUGUUAGUUGAAGCUACAAAGAGUGCAUCUGACUACGAACUUGAGGUGGUUUUCUCCAAUAGGUAGAAGAAAUCUGUUGGUGUCAGUUGUCAAUCUUAUUAUGUUAUUAAAUGUGUUACUUCUUAAGGUUUUCACGAGGGACUACUCAAUAGAUGCUUUAUACAAGGGCAUGCUAGGUUUAAUAGUAUUGAUCCUUAAGAGCACAUUCGUUCAUUAUUUUUUGUUUGCAGUGCUUGAUACACUUGCCUUACAGUAGUUGCCUUGUAGAAUAGGAAUAUUUGGUAUGAGCUGUUUACCUCUGCCAUUGACUUUGUAGCCAGUCUGUUACAUGUAUUUAUGAGCAUGUGCAGACCUGGGGAAUUAGUUAUGAUCAGAAAGGGAUAGAGAGGUCUUCUUAGAUAAGAGGGAGUGAAUAAUUUUGGUAUUGGAGAGAAUAAUUCUUUGGCCUAAAAGCAAAAGCAAUAGUAUGAGAUAUCUAUGAAUGUUAUUGCUUAAGAACAUCAUUGUUGGAAGAGUUGCUGUCAACAUUUGUUAUGUUGGAUUUUCUUUGUUAAUUGAUAAUGCCACUUAUCUUUACAGUUUCGAGUAUCAUGCAGCUGCUGAAUUGGUGAAAGAAGUUAAAUUUGAGGAAGUAGAAGGUUAGUGAUGCUAUGCUAUGAAAAUUUCUCCUUUCUCCAGCCAUUACAAGAAGACUAUAGCUACAAGACGACUUGUGCUAUUAGUUUAUCAUGUCUUAAUUCUGGGUUGUAUGGGUUGUUUCUACUUGUAAAGCCUUUUUUCGUCAUCUCUCUCUCUCUCUGAUUUCAGUUGGUGUUAAAACUAGAAUUGUCAGGAAGUGAGUUGCAGCUUAUACAUGCCUUCAUAUGUUUGUAGACUAUGUGGGAAUCAGCAUUUUUCAUUGUAAAGACACAAGAUCAUUAAGAUUCAUUACAUUGUGAGUUACAACUCAGCAUCAAGGCCAAUGCCAAUGAAAUUUAGCUUUUUCAUUCCUUCAGUGUAUUUUUUUUUUGUGUAAUUUUUAUAGUAAAAGAACAAUAGUUGUUCAAUACGAAACAGACUCCAUUCGAAUGUAUGAAAUGAGAAUAAGUAAUAUAGAAGUUUUUUUCUAUGCUGA
This 3617-nucleotide unclassified non-coding RNA is filed under the name Hevea brasiliensis (rubber tree). Lineage: Eukaryota; Viridiplantae; Streptophyta; Magnoliopsida; Malpighiales; Euphorbiaceae. The record is from RNAcentral.